Molecule: long non-coding RNA, 112 nt
Organism: Dermochelys coriacea (leatherback sea turtle)
Lineage: Eukaryota; Metazoa; Chordata; Testudines; Dermochelyidae
Exons: 3
Source: RefSeq, a predicted model, not a curated record
CCCAGGAUGGGGCUCCCCAGGGCGCUGGGCUCUCUUUGCUCACCUGGGGGCUCCGUGCAAUGAGCCAGGUGGGUUCUCAGCACCAUCAGUGUCACUAGCAGACCCCCAGCCC